CCCCGCCCCGCGGCGGCCCCGGCAGCCCGGCCCCCGCCUCCGCGCGCCAUUCCUCCGCGUCCUCCGGCCGCGCGUCCCGCCUGCCGCGCCUCGGCCAUGGCGGGCCUGGGGCCGCGACCCGCCAAGGGCUACCGGGUGGUGCUGCUCGGGAGCGUGGCCGUGGGCAAGACGGCCCUCGCCACGCAGUUCGCCUGCGGCAGGUUCCCCGAGCAGUGCGAGCCGUCGGUGGAGGAGCUCUUCAGCAAGGUGAUCGAGGUGAACGCGGCGCCCGCCCUGCUGGAGAUCGUGGACACCGUGGGCGCCGAGCACCUGGUCACCCUCAAGGACCUGUACAUCAAGAACAGCGACGGCUUCGUGGUGCUCUACAGCGUGUGCAGCGAGGCCUCGUUCGAGGCCGUGCGGCCGCUGCGGGAGCGCAUGGGCCGGCUGCGGGGGCCCAAGGCCGUGCCGCUGGUGCUGGUGGGCACCAAGGCCGACCUGGACGCCCAGCGCCAGGUGCUGACGGCGCAGGGCCGCGCGCUGGCCCGCGAGUGGCGGUGCCCGUUCCUGGAGGUCACGGCCAAGAGCAAACUGAUGGUGGACCAGGUGUUCACGCAGGUGGUGCGCGAGAUGGAGGCCCUGGCCCCGCCCGAGGAGGAGGCUCCGGUCGUCCCCGCGAACGUCCAGGAGACGUGGCCGUCGGAAAGAUUCAUCGGCUGAUGCGCCACGGCUCGUGUUCCGUGCGUCUCUCGCUGUCGUGAUUUCUGAAGCUCAGUAUUCCGACUCUGCCAUUUUCGAGAGUUAUCUGGCUGUAAACAAACGGUUACUUCUGUACACGGACUCAAAUCCCUGCUUCAAACUGUCCACAGAGCUUCCGAAAUAUUUGUCGAAAACUUUGCAACUGUAUUUACCUUUCGACAGUGCUGGAAGAAGACACCAAAAAUCGAUUUUUUUUUUUUUCUUUUUUCCCUGUGGGGAGAGAGUACUAUGUCUUCAAUUGGAAUGUGUUACUGGGAUUUUCUUUUUAUAAUUAACACCUUUGAACGUCAUCCGACAUUUGAAGUUGAUUGAGGAACUCAAGUUUAAGCUUUGGAUUCCCUGAGCUCUCAUGUGUUCCUUUCUCAGUUACAGGCUUGAACGGCAGUAGUAAUAUUUUCCUCUCCCCGUAUUUCUAAAUAUAGUUAUGACAUACGUAGCCUUGGUCUGAAAGGGAUAUUGUACACCCUGGGAGGGGCAGAAUCAACUCUGCUCAGGCAAAGAGCUCAGCUCUGCCUUCGGUUUUGUAAUUGACAUCGAGUUGAUUUCUGCAGCUGUAAAUUGACUAAAAAUAAAAUGACUUUAGAAGGUGUUAGUUUUUAAUCUUUGUCUUUCUAGAAGCUAGAGCUACAAUCCCAUAUACUCUAUCUCUGCUUUUCAGUUAUUUUCCAGGACAAGUGAGUAACUAGAGGGAAAACGGCCCCAUUUGGUUUUUGCGGCUUGGAGUCAGCUAUGUCCUCUGAAUACCUGCCUAGUUUGACACGGGUACUGAAAUUGAAACAAAACAUGAAUCUUUUUGUAUAGUUCUUGCAUAACAGUACAAGCAGUUUUCCUUGCGCUGGUUUAAAAAUAUUAUUGUUUUAUAAACGUAAAGAUUGUUCUUUGAGUUGCUUGUGUUUAUUUGCACAAGUUAGUUUUACCUCACCUGCUGCAACAGAUUUUUUUCAAAUUUGGAACCUAACAUAGCCAUUUGAACAUCCUUGUAGGGAAUGAAAUAAAGAUCUGUGCCUGUGUUCUGAAAUAAUUUCAUUAAAGGAAAUUUAUAAAGUGACGGUUA
Sus scrofa (pig) is the source of this 1792-nucleotide RNA transcript. It is a transcript of the gene named ras-related protein Rap-2a pseudogene, with no coding region annotated. Lineage: Eukaryota; Metazoa; Chordata; Mammalia; Artiodactyla; Suidae. The record is from RefSeq and is a predicted model, not a curated record.